ACCUAGAGUCGUUGUCGUGCCGAGGCAGCAGGUUGACGGGGAACUCUGCCGUCAUGUUGAGCAGCGCCUCCAUGGAGAAGUAGGGGUAUGUGAAGUCCUCGAAGGAUUUGGACUGGAUGAGACGCUCAUCGAGUCCACGACUCCAGGGGGCAGAUGCACAAGGCGUACCUCAACACCGGCCGCCGCAACGAGAUCAUCCUCUCGGCGGGCGCCAUGGGCAGCACGC
This 226-nucleotide long non-coding RNA is filed under the name Hordeum vulgare. RNAcentral describes it as "long non-coding RNA (HVUL_LNC014955)". Lineage: Eukaryota; Viridiplantae; Streptophyta; Magnoliopsida; Poales; Poaceae. The record is from RNAcentral.